GGCAUCUUCUCCUACCCAUACUUCUGUGUCAUCCAUGGGAUGUUUCUGCUUGCCCUCUAAAGCCAGGUAGUGAUCAGUAACUUUUUUUAACAGCAAUUCGGAAGUGGCUAAAGUUAAAGCCAUGUGGAUAUUGAUAGAUCAUGCCCUAACUGGUCCUUCCAUUCAAUAAAUAAAUAUAAAAACUGGGGAGUAAUAUUCCCCCAAGAAGGCUUCAAAGAAGUCAAGAGACAGACUGGGGUUCCAGUCCCUGACUCCCGGGCCUGGCGCAUGGAUAAAUCACCUUUCUACCACACCCCCUUGCCCAGCCUGAGACCCUCCCACAAUGGUGAUGAGCAGCCGAUUUGACUGUACUGUCAACAGAGAAAAUACCCCUAUCUAGUUAUUAGGGAUGGUCCCAGGGAGAUGGACAAUGAAGGACAACUGCCUCUGAUAAAGACUUCAUUCCUUUCAUGAUCCGGGCCCAAUCAGUAGAACAAGCAUUUACAUGUUAUAAAUCAACACAACUUCAUGAGAAUGUUUUGAUUCCUAAAGAAAUUGGAAUUUCAACUGUUUCAGCCCUUCUUAGAUAAUCAUAAAAGUUUAACAGCUAAAUGUGUAUAGGGCAGUAAAGAAAAACUUAAUUCAAGAAUCUCGGUUUCCCAUAUAAUUAAUUACUUGAAGGAAACACUGGUUAUGCUAGUUUUUAAAUUUUUUUUUUUUUGAGACAGAGUCUCGCUCUGUCUCCCAGGCUGGAGUGCAGUGGUGCAAUCUCGGCUCACUGCAAGCUCCACCUCCCGGGUUCACGCCAUCCUCCUGCCUCAGCCUCCUGAGUAGCUGGGACCACAGGCGUGUGCCACCAAGCCCACCCAAUUUUUUGUAUUUUUAGUAGAGAUGGGUUUCACCAUGUUGGCCAGGAUGGUCUCGAUCUCUUGACCUCAUGAUGCGCCUGCCUCGCUCAGCCUCCCAAAGUGCUGGGAUUACAGGCAUGAGCCACUGUGCCCAGCCACUACUUUUUUAUAAAAAAAACCUAAAGAUGAAUCAUCACUUGUUUUUGAGUUUUCCAGCUUUUUGCACAUCUAAUCAUAUAGAUGCAUCCAGCUCCAAUAAUGGUCAACAAAAUUUUUCUCUUUUAAAAAAGUUCAUUAUGAGCUGGGUACAGUGGCUCAAUGCCUGUAAUCCCCAGCACUUUGGGAGGCCAAGGUGAGUAGGUCAGUUGAGGUCAGAAGUUCCAGACCAACCUGGCCAACCAACAUGGUGAAACCCCGUCUCUACUAAAAAUACAAAAUUUAGCCAGGCG
RNAcentral lists this long non-coding RNA (1276 nucleotides) under Homo sapiens (human). Its description in RNAcentral is "HSALNT0218044". Lineage: Eukaryota; Metazoa; Chordata; Mammalia; Primates; Hominidae. The record is from RNAcentral.